AGCAUUUAUACAGCGAAACUGCGAAUGGGCUCCAUUAUAUAAGUUAUCGUUUAUUUGAUAGUGCCUUACUACUUGGAUAACCGUGGUAAUUCUAGAGCUAAUACAUGCUGAAAGCCCCGACUCACGGAGGGGCGUAUUUAUUAGAUUAAAAACCAAUGCCCUUCGGGGCUCCUUGGUGAUUCAUGAUAACUUCUCGAAUCGCACGGCCUUGCGCCGGCGAUGGUUCAUUCAAAUUUCUUCCCUAUCAACUUUCGAUGUUUGGGUAGUGGCCAAACAUGGUGGCAACGGGUAACGGAGGGUUAGGGCUCGACCCCGGAGAAGGAGCCUGAGAAACGGCUCCUACAUCCAAGGAAGGCAGCAGGCGCGCAAAUUACCCAAUCCCGACUCGGGGAGGUAGUGACAAUAAAUACUGAUGCAGGGCUCUUUAGGGUCUUGCAAUUGGAAUGAGUACAAUUUAAAUCCCUUAACGAGGAACAAUUGGAGGGCAAGUCUGGUGCCAGCAGCCGCGGUAACUCCAGCUCCAAUAGCGUAUAUUAAAGUUGUUGUGGUUAAAAAGCUCGUAGUUGAACCUUGGGCCUGGCCGUCCGGUCCGCCUCACCGCGUGCACUGGCACGGCCGGGCCUUCCCACCGCGGAAUCGCAUGCCCUUUACUGGGCGUGUCGGGGAAGCGGUACUUUUACUGUGAAAAAAUUAGAGUGCUCUAAGCAGGCCUAUGCUCGAAUACAUUAGCAUGGAAUAAUAGAAUAGGACAGGCGUUCUAUUUUGUUGGUUUCUAGGACGUCUGUAAUGAUUAACAGAAACAAUCGGGGGCGUCAGUAUUGCAUCGUCAGAGGUGAAAUUCUUAGAUCGACGCAAGACUAACUACUGCGAAAGCAUUCGCCAAGGGUGUUUUCAUUAAUCAGGAACGAAAGUUAGGGGAUCGAAGACGAUCAGAUACCGUCGUAGUCUUAACCAUAAACUAUGCCGACUAGGGAUCGGGCGGUGUUAAUUUUUGACCCGCUCGGCACCUUACGAGAAAUCUUAAGUGCUUGGGCUCCAGGGGAG
This 1044-nucleotide ribosomal RNA is filed under the name Microthecium quadrangulatum. RNAcentral describes it as "SSU rRNA". It matches the Rfam family "Eukaryotic small subunit ribosomal RNA", at positions 68 to 1123 of the family's 1831-position model. The record is from RNAcentral. Lineage: Eukaryota; Fungi; Ascomycota; Sordariomycetes; Coronophorales; Ceratostomataceae.